UACGGAGGGUGCGAGCGUUAAUCGGAAUUACUGGGCGUAAAGGGUUCGUAGGUGGUUUGAUAAGUUAUCUGUGAAAGCCCUGGGCUUAACCUGGGAAGGCCAGAUAAGACUGUUAGGCUAGAGUAUGGGAGGGGGUAGUGGAAUUUCCGGUGUAGCGGUGAAAUGCGUAGAGAUCGGAAGGAACACCGGUGGCGAAGGCGGCUACCUGGCCUAAUACUGACACUGAAGGACGAAAGCGUGGGGAGCAAACAGG
This 253-nucleotide ribosomal RNA is filed under the name uncultured bacterium. Its description in RNAcentral is "partial 16S ribosomal RNA". It matches the Rfam family "Bacterial small subunit ribosomal RNA", at positions 524 to 776 of the family's 1533-position model. The record is from RNAcentral.